AAUGAAGAAAAGAUUAAGAAAAGAAAACUCAAUUGCCAUGUCCAUCUCUUUCUGCUUCCCUACCUCCUUAUCUCCCUCAUCCUCUCUCUUACUAAAUUCACAAGAUGCAGAGAUCAUCGAAAAGUUCCAGAGUGACUGAAGAGCUGUUCAAUCACGCAAGCACAGACACAGACCAACAAGAACUUCCCACGUAUGAUCCACUUUCUCACAUUGGAAAGAAGGAAAAGUCUCGUCUCAGAUCUGCUGAGUAUGCAAUCCAUGUCAUCCCUCUUGUUCUUGUUCUCUGUGCCAUCAUCCUCUGGUUCUUCUCAAACUCCCCAGAGCCAAGGAUUUGAGAAUCGAUAACGUCGGCAAUGGUGUUAAUUCAUGGAACAGGUUGCUGGCUGGCUUUCCUCUUGGCCAAAAGAAGAAAAGAAGCGAAGGGCACUCCAAACAAUCUUCCAAAGGGCGGGGAUUGGAGCCUAUUGCCGGCGACAAUUAUGGAGGAAGGUGGUAUCAAGGCAGAUUACUCCCAAGCAAAUCCACCGGACUCCUAGCCAACGAUCAUGAUGAUUCUUACCAGGACUGGUACCUCUGAUCACCAUAAUUUGUGCUGCAGAAUUCUAGCCAACAGACUUGUAUUCUUCUAUAUUUAGCUCACUGUAAUUCCUGCAUUACUGUAUACAAUCUCUAUAAAUUAGAUACCAUAUUACAGUAAUAAGAUGAGGAGAAUUUCCAUUGAAA
This is a long non-coding RNA of Populus euphratica (Euphrates poplar), 723 nucleotides long. RefSeq lists it as uncharacterized. The transcript has 2 exons. NCBI's taxonomy places the organism in Eukaryota, Viridiplantae, Streptophyta, Magnoliopsida, Malpighiales, Salicaceae. The record is from RefSeq and is a predicted model, not a curated record.